GCCCAAGCUCGCCAGGCAGGAAAUGUGUCUUUUUCGUCCUUGCGGGACCCCAGAUGUCUCCAGACACCCAGACUCAGUGCCUUUUUCUUAGCUGCUGUCAAAAGUUGGAACCUGGCAAGAUCAACGACUUUUUGCCAGCUCAGAAUUCACUCCUGUUCCAGUCCCUCUCCCUAGAUGAACGUUGAUUGGCAGCCUUGAUCCACAAUCUCUCACCAUCUUCUGAGAGUAAGACUCACGCAGCCUCAGCACCACAACUAAGAGACAAAAGGUUCAUUGGAAUUUCCAGCUCCUCAGAUUUCUCCCUUCAGUUCUUCAGAGCAUCUGUGAGUCUGGAGUUCUGUCACUGAAGUCAUAUGGUCAGUAUAAAUGGUGAGGAGUCACCAAAAAACCAUAUAUUUCUCAGAUCCAGUGAAACCCUGUGAAAAGACCAUGCCCUGACCCCUAAAUUAAAAUCAGAAACAGA
This is a long non-coding RNA of Odocoileus virginianus texanus, 463 nucleotides long. RefSeq lists it as uncharacterized. The record is from RefSeq and is a predicted model, not a curated record. Lineage: Eukaryota; Metazoa; Chordata; Mammalia; Artiodactyla; Cervidae.